GGUGCCACUACGGCCGGCCCCGGCAGCCCCCCGGCUCCUCCGCCUCCCCCUGCAAAGUCGUCUGGUGCCCACAAACGCACCCGCCCGGGCAGGGAGCUGCUCUCGGGGCAGGUGGAGAACACAGGGGGCUGCCCUGGCCGGGGAUUCACAGCCGGUCUGCGGACAUGGAGAAUUCGUGGAAGAGGAGCUGCUCCAGGCCACAGCUCCCUGGGAGCCGGCCGGCCUUAUGGAAUGUUAAGAAGUAUGUAUUUUUGGGCUGGGACCCCCACGCCGGGAGCCCCCAUCAUCAGCACCGUGCAGACAGCGCCUCCGGAGAGAUGAUGCGUCCCUGGGGCUGGUAAAAAGGAACCAGAUCAACUUGCACUGGAUUUGGUCCCCUUCAACCAGCUGCAGCGGCGCAUGAGCCACGGCACCCGCUGCCCCUGACCGCUGCCGCCGUGCUGCCCUGAGAGGGCUCAGGGUGAGGAGUGGGUGCAAGGAGUGGAGAAAGGAGGUGCAGAGUGGGGCUUUGGUUGGUUUUCGAGGCUGCCCGAUGGACAGGAGACAGACGGAGCAGCUGCAGCUCUGCUCUCCAGACUGCCCGGGGCCCUCGCCACAACCGCGGGGUCUCACCGGACGGGCAAAGCCCCGUGCUGGCACAGGAACCCUGGCACAGGCCUGAGGAGCCCCGGGCCGAAGCCUCCUUCCCCCGCAGCUCCCGCACCUCCCGGCCGGGGCCAAAGGGCUCCUGCGGGAACAUCCCCAGGGUGCGAGCCCCGAGGACGGGAGAGCCGCAGUCCUGCUCUAGCAGAGACAGGAACAUCAAGCGUUAAAGGGAAAGGGAAACGGAGCGAGCAGUUUCAAAUUCUCGGAAAUCACCUCACCCGACACACCCUGCACAAGUCGAUCUUUGCUGCAAACUUCAUCCCAUCAGAACACAACAGACUCAGAAGAGGUUGGUGGAGCGGGGAGCUGCGGUCCCGCGAACUAGGUAUAGGAAGACUCAAUCAGCUCUCGCUCCCCCUCCAGCCCACCAUGGUUCCCUUUAUAUUCCUUGUGGGAUUAUUCGUAGGAGCUGUAGGAGCUGCAGGAGCUGUAGUUGCAGGAGUGGCAGCAGCGAAGCAUCGCAAUAGGAAUUCCAAUGGGGGAGACCAAAGGGAAAGCCAUGCUGGCCAGAGAAGAACUCCUGAUUACCACUACCAGUGAUCAGAAGCAGAUUUGCUUCCUUCCAAGCAGCCGGCUUCAUGUCUUCACACUACUGAAACUGGAAAGUCUCUGCUGACCCCCAGCUGCCCCUCAAGCAGAUUGGGAUUGCUUGAGCUAUAAUGCUUUGAAAGCUUAAUAAAAAUGCAUUGCUGGUG
This is a long non-coding RNA of Hirundo rustica (Barn swallow), 1340 nucleotides long. RefSeq lists it as uncharacterized. The record is from RefSeq and is a predicted model, not a curated record. Lineage: Eukaryota; Metazoa; Chordata; Aves; Passeriformes; Hirundinidae. The transcript is spliced from 6 exons.